This 800-nucleotide ribosomal RNA is filed under the name uncultured bacterium. RNAcentral describes it as "bacterial SSU rRNA". It matches the Rfam family "Bacterial small subunit ribosomal RNA", at positions 8 to 788 of the family's 1533-position model. The record is from RNAcentral.
AGAGUUUGAUCCUGGCUCAGGAUAAACACUGGCGGCGCACAUAAGACAUGCAAGUCGAACGGAAGUCGUUACGAAACGGAUUGAAGAUUUAUCAGAUUGAAGUUUUGUAACAAUGGCUUUAGUGGCGGACUGGUGAGUAACACGUAAGCAACCUGCCUAUUAGAGGGAAAUAACAAUGAGAAAUCAUUGCUAAUACCGCAUAAGCUUGUAGCAACGCAUGUUGUAGCAAGAAAAGGAGAAAUCCGCUAAUAGAUGGGCUUGCGGCUGAUUAGCUAGUUGGUAGGGUAAAGGCUUACCAAGGCAACGAUCGGUAGCCGGGCUGAGAGGCUCUGCGGCCACAUUGGGACUGAGAUACGGCCCAGACUCCUACGGGAGGCAGCAGUCGGGAAUAUUGCGCAAUGGAGGAAACUCUGACGCAGUGACGCCGCGCAUAGGAAGAAGGUUUUAGGAUUGUAAACUAUUUUAGACAGGGAAGAAUAAAUGACAGUACCUGUAGAAUAAGCUCCGGCUAACUACGUGCCAGCAGCCGCGGUAAUACGUAGGGAGCAAGCGUUAUCCGGAAUUAUUGGGUGUAAAGGGUGCGUAGACGGGAAUACAAGUUGGUUGUGAAAUCCCUCGGCUCAACCGAGGAACUGCAACCAAAACUAUAUUUCUUGAGUGCAGGAGAGGAAAGCGGAAUUCCUAGUGUAGCGGUGAAAUGCGUAGAUAUUAGGAGGAACACCAGUGGCGAAGGCGGCUUUCUGGACUGUAACUGACGUUGAGGCACGAAAGUGUGGGGAGCAAACAGGAUUAGAUACCCU